GAGCCAAAUGAUGAGGGCAUUACGAAGAAUGAGUUUCCAUUUGUCAUCUGGAAGUCCCUAGAACCCAAGACUGGACCAGGUUCUAAACAGGAAGACAGAGGACCUCCUCCAGGGGCUCUAGAACUGAGUUCAGAGAUAAGUAUGCCGGAUGUGGGCCUCUUCCAACGAUGCACAUAGACUCCUCUGGAAACCUGGGGUGGAUGCUCAAGUGUCUCGAGCUAAGAUAGGAGAUGCAGACACCAAUGGGCUGCUCAACAACAACUUAUCACCGUUUUGGGGGUAGAGAUUGAUUACUGGGAUUCGGCUUUUGUUUGGAGUUCCUUCGAUUGCAACCUGUGCAAAAUGCAAUUGCAUGCCUGGAUGGGGAGAGCCCAACUACUGAAGCAUACAGCAUUUCCACUGGGUUAUCGACACUGCUUAAUAUUAAAAUCUGGAUUAAUUUAGAUCUCCCAUGCUCAUGGAUUGGCAGGAUCAACAUUGUAAAAAUGGCUAUCUUGCCAAAAGCAAUCUACAGAUUCAAUGCAAUCCCCAUCAAAAUUCCAACUCAAUUCUUCAACGAAUUGGAAGGAGCAAUUUGCAAAUUUGUCUGGAAUAACAAAAAACCUAGGAUAGCAAAAAGUCUUCUCAAGGAUAAAAGA
RNAcentral lists this long non-coding RNA (638 nucleotides) under Mus musculus (house mouse). Its description in RNAcentral is "Rap guanine nucleotide exchange factor (GEF) 4, opposite strand 1". The record is from RNAcentral. Lineage: Eukaryota; Metazoa; Chordata; Mammalia; Rodentia; Muridae.